RNAcentral lists this ribosomal RNA (1846 nucleotides) under Opercularia sp. 1. RNAcentral's name for it is "partial large subunit ribosomal RNA". It matches the Rfam family "Eukaryotic large subunit ribosomal RNA", at positions 23 to 1874 of the family's 3401-position model. The record is from RNAcentral. Lineage: Eukaryota; Ciliophora; Oligohymenophorea; Sessilida; Operculariidae.
ACCCGCUGAAUUUAAGCAUAUCAGUAAGCGGAGGAAAAGAAACUAACAAGGAUUGCCUCAGUAGCGGCGAGUGAAGAGGCAACAGCCCAAGAUGUUAAUCUGAGCCUCAUGGCAAAGAAUUGUAAUCUAUAGGGAUUCCCGGAAGGAGUCAUUGAGCCAUAAGUCCUUUGGAAAAGGGUACCAUAGAGGGUGAUAGUCCCGUCUUUGGGUUCAAUGGCCUGUACGGGGGUUUUCUAAGAGUCGGGUAGUUUGGGAAUGCUGCCCUAAUUAGGAGAUAAACUUCUUCUAAGGCUAAAUAUUUAUGGGAGACCGAUAGCAUACAAGUACUGCGAAGGAAAGAUGAAAAGAACUUUGAAUAAGAGGGUUAAAAGACUUGAAAUCGUUGAAAAGGAAGCGGUAGAAGAGUAAUUAAGACUCUGUAAAAUUCGUCGCGUGUCUAAGCUUGAGGAGGUGGAGUAUCUAACAGAGCUUGCUUUUUCAUGUAAAAACACACGGCCGUUUGCUAAGUCUGGGCAAGAUGAGAUCGUUCUGGAAGAAUAAGGCUGAAAGAGAUUCUUAGGCCAAAAGUUUCAGAGCGGUCUGAGGGAUCUUAGGAUGAUCUUGCCAAAAUGGCUUCUACCGACCCGUCUUGAAACACGGACCAAGGAGUCUACCUAUUAUGCGAGUGUGAGGGUGUUAAAACCCGAACGCGUACCGAAAGGGAGUAUAAGAUGUGAAGUGUCAAAGCUGCAACAUCGACCAUCUCUGAUCCUCUGGAGAAGGGUAUGAGUAAGAGCAUAAUCGGUAGGACCCGAAAGAUGGUGAACUACACUUGAGUAGGGUGAAGCCAGGGGAAACUCUGGUGGAGGCUCGCAGCGUUACUGACGUGCAAAUCGUUCGUCAAACUUGCGUGUAGGGGCGAAAGACUAAUCGAACUAUCUAGUAGCUGGUUCCCUCUGAAAUUUCUCUCAGGAAAGCUGGAACAGUUUAUGCAGUUUUAUCAGGUAAAGCUAAUGAUUAGUGGAAUCGGGGUCCUGUGGGCCUCGACCAAUUCUCAAACUUUAAAUUGGUAAGAACUCCGAGUUAUCUUAAUUGAACAAGGAGAAUCAAUGCAUUGUUCUUAGUGGGCCAUUUUUGGUAAGCAGAACUGGCGAUGGGGGAUGAACCUAACGCUGAGAUAAGGUGCCAAAAUUCACGCUCAUGAGAUCCCAUAAAAGGUGUUAGUUAAUAUAGACAGAUGGACUAUGGUCAUGGAAGUCGACAUUAGCUAAGGAGUGUGUAACAACUCACCAGCCGAAUUAACUAGCCCUGAAAAUUGAUGGCGCUGCAGCGUGAUACCGAUACUCAGCCAUCAUGGCAAACAGAAGCUAUGAUGAGUAAGAGGGCGUGAGCACUGUACAGAAGGCUUGGGUGUGAACCUGGUUGGAACAGUGCUUAGUGCAGAUCUUGGUGGUAGUAGCAAAUAUUCAAAUGAGAACUUUGAAGGCCGAAGUGGAGAAGGGUUCCAUGAGAACAGCAUUUGAUCAUGGGUUACUCGUUCCUAAGACAUAGGGAAAUUCCUUGUAAAACACGUGUUCUUACGAACACGAGGUCGAAAGGGAAUGAGGUUAAUAUUCCUCAAGUAGAAUGCGGAUGUUAUGUGGCAACACAAAUGAGCUUGGAGACAUCGGUGUGUACCCCUGGAAGAGUUCUCUUUUCUUCUUAACAGUCUAUCUCCCUGAAUGAAUUAUUCAGAGAUAGGGACGUAUGACUGGCAGAGCAGCUCACCUUCGGGCUGUCAGGUGUGUUCACAACGAUCCUUGAAAAUCCAAGGGAGAUAUCAUAUCGCGUCUAGACGUACCCAUAACCGCAUCAGGUCUCCAAGGUU